RNAcentral lists this transfer RNA (95 nucleotides) under Armatimonadota bacterium. Its description in RNAcentral is "tRNA-Asp". The record is from RNAcentral. Lineage: Bacteria; Bacillati; Armatimonadota.
AGAGGCAAGAGUCGCUCUGGAGAGGAUGCUGGCUAUCUGCUAGCAGUUAGUGAUAGAGAAGCCGCAUAGAGUCGUUCUAUGCGACUUCUCUUUAC